This 917-nucleotide ribosomal RNA is filed under the name uncultured Bacteroidota bacterium. RNAcentral describes it as "bacterial SSU rRNA". It matches the Rfam family "Bacterial small subunit ribosomal RNA", at positions 1 to 917 of the family's 1533-position model. Lineage: Bacteria; Pseudomonadati; Bacteroidota. The record is from RNAcentral.
UGGAUCCAGACUUUGAUUCUGGCUCAGGAUGAACGCUAGCUACAGGCCUAACACAUGCAAGUCGAGGGGCAGCAUGGCGGUCGCUUGCGACCGCCGAUGGCGACCGGCGAAUGGGUGAGUAACGCGUAUCCAACCUGCCCCGCGCCCGGGGAUAGCCCUUGGAAAUGAGGAUUAAGACCCGAUAUGUGCCCUGGCCGCAUGGCCGGGACAUGAAGCAGACGCGGGAUGGGGAUGCGUUGGAUUAGCCAGCCGGCAGGGCAGCGGCCUACCGGGGCGACGAUCCAUAGGGGUUCUGAGAGGAAGGUCCCCCACACUGGCACUGAGACACGGGCCAGACUCCUACGGGAGGCAGCAGUGAGGAAUAUUGGUCAAUGGGCGAGAGCCUGAACCAGCCAAGUAGCGUGCAGGAUGACGGCCCUACGGGUUGUAAACUGCUUUUGCGGGAGAAUAACCGGCGCCACGCGUGGCGCCCUGCAGGUAUCCCGUGAAUAAGGACCGGCUAAUUCCGUGCCAGCAGCCGCGGUAAUACGGAAGGUCCGGGCGUUAUCCGGAUUUAUUGGGUUUAAAGGGAGCGCAGGCGGAGGAUCAAGCCAGCCGUGAAAUGGCGGCGCUCAACGCCGUCCGGCGGUUGGAACUGGUCCCCUUGAUUGCGGGAGAGGAAGGCGGAACUCGUGGUGUAGCGGUGAAAUGCAUAGAUAUCACGAAGAACCCCGAUUGCGAAGGCAGCCUUCCGGCCCGUGAAUGACGCUCACGCUCGAAGGCGCGGGUAUCAAACAGGAUUAGAUACCCUGGUAGUCCGCGCGGUAAACGAUGAAUGCUCGGGAUUCGGGCUUUAUGUCUGAGUCCCCCAGCGAAAGCGUUAAGCAUUCCACCUGGGGGGUACGCCGGCAACGGUGCAACUCAAAUGAAUUGACGGA